UACGUAGGGUGCGAGCGUUUAAUCGGAAUUACUGGGCGUAAAGCGUGCGCAGGCGGUUGUGCAAGACCGAUGUGAAAUCCCCGGGCUUAACCUGGGAAUGGCAUUGGUGACUGCACGGCUAGAGUGUGUCAGAGGGGGGUAGAAUUCCACGUGUAGCAGUGAAAUGCGUAGAGAUGUGGAGGAAUACCGAUGGCGAAGGCAGCCCCCUGGGAUAACACUGACGCUCAUGCACGAAAGCGUGGGGAGCAAACAGG
RNAcentral lists this ribosomal RNA (254 nucleotides) under uncultured bacterium. RNAcentral describes it as "partial 16S ribosomal RNA". It matches the Rfam family "Bacterial small subunit ribosomal RNA", at positions 524 to 776 of the family's 1533-position model. The record is from RNAcentral.